UUGAUGACAUUUUCCUUUCGCUAGUCAAC
RNAcentral lists this non-coding RNA (29 nucleotides) under Rattus norvegicus (Norway rat). Lineage: Eukaryota; Metazoa; Chordata; Mammalia; Rodentia; Muridae. The record is from RNAcentral.